GGGUAUAGCUCAGUGGUAGAGCACUUGCCUAGUAUGUGCAAGUCCCUGGGUUUAAUUCCCAAUACUUCCC
RNAcentral lists this transfer RNA (70 nucleotides) under Heterocephalus glaber (naked mole-rat). It matches the Rfam family "tRNA". From Rfam's summary of the family: Transfer RNA (tRNA) molecules are approximately 80 nucleotides in length. Their secondary structure includes four short double-helical elements and three loops (D, anti-codon, and T loops). Further hydrogen bonds mediate the characteristic L-shaped molecular structure. tRNAs have two regions of fundamental functional importance: the anti-codon, which is responsible for specific mRNA codon recognition, and the 3' end, to which the tRNAs corresponding amino acid is attached (by aminoacyl-tRNA synthetases). tRNAs cope with the degeneracy of the genetic code in two manners: having more than one tRNA (with a specific anti-codon) for a particular amino acid; and 'wobble' base-pairing, i.e. permitting non-standard base-pairing at the 3rd anti-codon position. Lineage: Eukaryota; Metazoa; Chordata; Mammalia; Rodentia; Bathyergidae. The record is from Rfam by way of RNAcentral.